This 66-nucleotide non-coding RNA is filed under the name Ditylum brightwellii. The record is from RNAcentral. Lineage: Eukaryota; Bacillariophyta; Thalassiosirophyceae; Lithodesmiales; Lithodesmiaceae.
UAAACCCCGCCAGGCCCGGAAGGGAGCAACGGUAGUAGCUGACUCAUGUGCCGUGGUGUGGCUGGC